RNAcentral lists this RNase P RNA (288 nucleotides) under Chinchilla lanigera (long-tailed chinchilla). Its description in RNAcentral is "Nuclear RNase P (ENSCLAG00000022209.1)". It matches the Rfam family "Nuclear RNase P". Rfam says of the family: Ribonuclease P (RNase P) is a ubiquitous endoribonuclease, found in archaea, bacteria and eukarya as well as chloroplasts and mitochondria. Lineage: Eukaryota; Metazoa; Chordata; Mammalia; Rodentia; Chinchillidae. The record is from Rfam by way of RNAcentral.
GGUAGAGAGGAGCUCAUCAGUGUGUUUAUGAGUGAAGUGCCUAAUAUCCUUUGGGAAGGAACCCUCUAAUUCAUGUCCUUUGGGAAGUUUUGAGACUAGGGUUAACAGCAGCCCUAAUAGAGUCCUCCCUGAGCCUUGGAGAUGUGAGUUCUUACACAACUUUGCUCUGGGCCAGAGCAGACUGGGCAAGAUAUGCCAUGUGGAAAAGCCCAGUGUCUGCAUCCCUAGAUGGAUCUUGGAAUAUGCUCUUGCCAGUUUGUGAAGCAAUCUAGAAUUCUCUUUUAUGUC